This 494-nucleotide ribosomal RNA is filed under the name uncultured bacterium. RNAcentral's name for it is "bacterial SSU rRNA". It matches the Rfam family "Bacterial small subunit ribosomal RNA", at positions 8 to 518 of the family's 1533-position model. The record is from RNAcentral.
AGGGUUCGAUUCUGGCUCAGAACGAACGCUGGCGGCAUGGAUUAGGCAUGCAAGUCGAACGGUGAAGCGGGGCAACCUGCUGAACAGUGGCGCAAGGGUGAGGAACACGUGAGUAAUCUGCCCUCAAGUUUGGAAUAGCUCCUGGAAACGGGAAUUAAUACCGGAUGACAACAUGGGACCGCAUGGUUUUAUGUUCAAAGCAGCGAUGCGCUUGAGGAGGAGCUCGCGUCCCAUUAGCUAGUUGGUGAGGUAACGGCCCACCAAGGCCAUGAUGGGUAGCUGGUCUGAGAGGACGAUCAGCCACAGUGGGACUGAGAACUGCCCACACUCCUACGGGAGGCUGCAGUCGAGAAUUUUGGGCAAUGGGCGAAAGCCUGACCCAGCCAAUGCCGCGUGCGGGAUGACGGUCUUCGGAUUGUAAACCGCUGUCAAGAGGGACGAAACAUGACGGUACCUCUGAAGGAAGCCACGGCUAACUACGUGCCAGCCGCAGC